UUUUUUCUUCUAUUGCAUAAAGCUUGUUGGCAAGCCAAGCGAUUAGCGAUAACAAGUUGGCUAUAACUCCUCGUCUUUCUUGUUUAAAUAAAGAGCUUUGCACACUCAACUGAUUUCUUUUAGUCUCGAUCACAACUCACAAGUUAUUUUCUUCGUAAACGCCAUACAAACACCUGCUUCUGUUUAAUAGUUGUUUACGCUUUGUCGGAUGCAAUUUCUGGCUCUUUGUACUGAGUGUAGCCAUCUAUUCUGUGGUGUAGCACCUUAUGCAGCCAAUGUGGCCAAUGUAUAAUGAAUACACGGCCUAAAACAAUAUAUCUUCUGGCACUUUAUAAUUGGGCGCCGGUAAUGCAUAACGUCAUCAAUUUAUAUAUUGCAUAGAGUCUGAAAGAUUUUCUCAAUAUUCAUGUCUGAAAUGUUUAUAUAUUUGAAAACAACACUCUCUCGCUCUUUCCUACCUCUGUAUAAUGGGUAUACCGUGAAAAUAAUAUCGGCACUCAAUUGAAUGCCUAGAAUCUCAAAGAUUUUGAAUAUCUACAAAGUAAAUGAUUAUUUAGCAAGUCUAUUUAUGUUCAGAUAUUUCCAUCUGCAAAAUUUGCCAGAAAUCGUCGCAAAUUAUUUCUUGACUAAUAAAGAAAUCCAUAACCACAACAAUAGAAAUUCAUCAUCUUUGCACAAAAAAUGUUACAAAACAAAUUACACAAAACUUACUCUUGCCAAUAAGGGAACUGAUGUUUGGAAUAAUCUUCCCACACAAUAUAAGAAAAUCCAAUUCUAUGGUACUUUCAAAAAAACUAUAAAAAAGUACUUUCUGCAUUUAAUUACUUCAAGUUAACAUUUCCACUUCACCAGUAAAAUGUUUGUAAAUGUAAAUAUAUAUAAAUAUAUAUAUCCCGUUCUUCAUUACUUGUUAAAAAUCUAUUUUUCUCUUUCAAAUGUAAUACAACUCCAGCUUACUAUUUUACAGUAAUGUAUUGCACAUUAAUUAUAAUAUAUUUCCUGACUUUAAAAAACAACAUUCGAACUGCAUGUUAGAUUAUGAAUAUAGCUAGUUAUAUAAUUGUUACCUAGGGACCUUAAACAAAAGCCUUUUGGUUUCUAGAAGGUUCCUAGCCCUAAUUUUGUAAAUAUUUAAUUCUACUUCUUAUUGUUAUGUAAUUGGGCGAAAAAAAAAUUAAAAAAAAAGAAAAUAUUUUCGACUCAAUAUUUAAGUAUAUUUACGUCUGAAAUGUUUAAUAUAAUAUAUAAUAUAUACACUUGAAAAAAAGCACUGUCCUAGCUCCUUCCUAGCUCUGUAAAAUGAAUAUACCGUCUAAAUAAUAUCGGCACUUAAUUGAUGCAUAACAUCAAUUUAUAUAUUGCGUAGAUUCUCGAAUAUUUACUCAAUAUUCACAUCUGAAAUGUUUAUACAUUUCAAAACAACACUGUCUCGCUCCUUCCUAGCAUCGUCACGCCAUCGUGAUCUAUGGCUUGAUAGCGCAUGCGUAUUUGCGCUGCUAAAGAAAAAUCGGGUGUUCCGGGCUAAGAUCCUUUACACAACAUGAGAAGCGCAUGUUAUAAAAUUUACAAUAACGACAACAAUUCCUCGAAUUUUUUGUAAACUUGGCAAAACUUAGCAAAAGGCCUAAAGAAUAUUUAAAUAAGACAACUGAAAUUGCCUAAAUAACCUUCAAAGCACAGACUAAGUGCGAAUUAAAUGUACGAUCACUACGAACAUAUACCGCAUACACCUCCCGGAAAGUUUACUGUAUGACUGAAUGACUGACUGACUGUCUCGUUUGAUUCCCCCCCCCCCAGUCAUCACAACACUGCGAAGUUUCGAAGAAACUUCACACUUAAAAAUGUUCGAGACAAAUGUAGUUUUAUUAACUUACGCGUUUAUAGCGAACAUUCCACUGGCAAAGUUUUCCUGACUUCGUUAUGUCACAUUAUACAACGCUAACAGCUUGAAAUUCCACUCAACUAUGUAAUUUUUGUCAGUCUUGUUUAAGGUAAAUGCUUUUCCAAUUAACAAUAAAGAUAAAAGCUAAAUUUUCCAUGCGAAGGCAACUUUUACUUUGUGUAGCGCGGCGCCAUGUCCGUUUUUUUUAAGCAAUCUGUGACCGUUUACUUUUUAAACUAAACUGCUUUAAAGUGAUAGGUUGAUUUUAUCACCACAAUGUUCUUCCACCCAUCAGAUCAGUUUGUUACAGAUUUUUGCACUCUUGUUACAGAUUUUUGCACUCUUGUUACAGAUUUUUGCGCUGCUGUUUGGGAUUAAAUAUAAUAUUUGCUUGCUAAUAGGAAUUUUAUGCCUUUCCGGCAUGUUAUGUUUCAAGGCGUUCGGGAACAGGUUCAAGGAAGCCGUUGAGCCUUUAAAUGCUGCUAAAAGCAAAGUAUUGUCCACCUCGAAUGUGCGCAGACGUGGGACCGUGAGGAAAGUCGACCGUAUGUGGCCAAAUUUACGUCUUUGUAAACCUUACUUCGGCAAAUGAUGUCGAGUUAGUAGGCGUUUAUAUACAAAGUGAGAAGUAGAAAUAUAUAUCUCUCGGGAACAUAUCUACGCUACUCGGACCGUAAGAAAUUGAUUUUUUUUGGAAUAGAAAUCGCAUACUAGAAUUGGGGAAUCACUGUAAUAAGGAAUAAUAAGUUUGCUUUUGAAAUCAAAUGAGAGGAAAAUGAAAAGAGAUGUUAAAUCUUUUUUCAAAUUCAUCCUUCGUAAUUUUCUUAGCUUUAAGGGAAUUCACGAAAGUUCUUAUUGUUGUUUUUUUUUCCUGUUUUUGGGGCGAAGGAUCGUAUUAAUUCAAAAUGUCUUUAAAUAAAUCUUCAUUGGCAGAAAACAGAAAAUACUUAUACUGUGCAUAAAGUUCUAUUGAAUUUUUAAUUUGAAAGUGCAGUGUUCACGUUGUGCCUAACAAGCCGCUAAAAAGUCAGAUAUUUACGAAAGAUUUCGUGCUUAGCCCAACACAGUUAGCUUUAGAUUAGAGUUUCUAUUCGUGAAUUGCGUCCAAAGUAACCGACCACAUUGUUACCCAAAGAUUAAAGUGCACUGUAUCAUACUAAAGUGCAGCAAAAAAGUAC
Molecule: non-coding RNA, 3060 nt
Organism: Paramuricea clavata
Lineage: Eukaryota; Metazoa; Cnidaria; Anthozoa; Malacalcyonacea; Plexauridae
Source: the annotation of a GenBank genome assembly